This 253-nucleotide ribosomal RNA is filed under the name uncultured bacterium. Its description in RNAcentral is "partial 16S ribosomal RNA". It matches the Rfam family "Bacterial small subunit ribosomal RNA", at positions 524 to 776 of the family's 1533-position model. The record is from RNAcentral.
UACAGAGGUGGCAAGCGUUGUUCGGAAUCACUGGGCGUAAAGGGCGCGUAGGCGGAUCUUUAAGUCAGAGGUGAAAGCCCAAGGCUCAACCUUGGAAUUGCCUUUGAUACUGAGGAUCUCGAGACCGGAAGAGGUAAGUGGAACUGCGAGUGUAGAGGUGAAAUUCGUAGAUAUUCGCAAGAACACCAGUGGCGAAGGCGGCUUACUGGUCCGGUUCUGACGCUGAGGCGCGAAAGCGUGGGGAGCAAACAGG